This is a small nucleolar RNA of Phragmites australis (common reed), 139 nucleotides long. RefSeq annotates it as small nucleolar RNA Z247. NCBI's taxonomy places the organism in Eukaryota, Viridiplantae, Streptophyta, Magnoliopsida, Poales, Poaceae. The transcript has a single exon. The record is from RefSeq and is a predicted model, not a curated record.
AUCUUGGACGAAAAGGAGAUGGUGUCCUAUAUCCUAUCAGUUCUCGACAUGGAGUAUAACCCCUUGGUUCAAUUCAUUGUUGCGAGGUCAGAUCCAGUUUCAUUAAGUGAUCUGUAUGUACAAAUGUUGAGCUUUGACA